This is a non-coding RNA of Phalacrocorax carbo (great cormorant), 1731 nucleotides long. The record is from RefSeq and is a predicted model, not a curated record. NCBI's taxonomy places the organism in Eukaryota, Metazoa, Chordata, Aves, Suliformes, Phalacrocoracidae.
ACUCCGCUGACCCACGACACGGGAAACCGCAGAGGAUUAGGAGCGCUGUCCGUGGCUGCUUAGGCAAGAGUCAGACAUGGAACUAUGAGAAGGCGCUAGCUUUGGGAAUUACACAACAGCUUUGGGACUUGCUCUGCUCCAGGGGACACUGAUGAUAAAGAAGAAAAACAUCUGGAGGAUUACGUGAGAUUUAACCCAGGCGUGACAGCGGGAUCCCCGGGCUCGUCAGCAGACAGUCACACCGCUGAAGCAAGGCAGCUCACCUGUCUGGUUGUAAUGCAUCCAGUUCAGGAUGACUUCUGGGGCUCUGUACCAGCGCGUAACCACGUAGCCAGUCAUUUCAGCAUCAGUGUGUCUGGCCAAGCCAAAAUCCAAGAUCUGCAGUUCACCAAAGGAAAAGGGAGAAGGAAGGGCAGGAAAGGAAAGAAAAGAAAUCCUACGGACAAGUGAGAAUCUACUUCUAAGAGGAAACGAAGAAGAUCAGAUCAGAUAAUAAUGAAGCUCCAACUACACUACAGCCACCCACGGGACGGUUCAAAGAACUAACAGGUUUGUCUUAAUUCCACUGUAAAUUGCAAGCUGGCUGAAAAACCAGUUGUUGUGCGAAGACCCUGUCGAAAGGAUCAGGGCUGUGUGCCACCCGGAAGGUCAUUUCCUCUCUUGAAGCUUAAGUUUCAACUCUAUGAACUUUAUUUAAUUGAGUUGUUCUACAACCUGGCGGUGAAGGCGUGCUCCCAGGCCACCACGACUCACCCUUUCCUAUAAAAACACCUUGCAGCUGGCAGGGAAUGGCCUCUCCCUCAAUACUGGAGAUGAGCAUAGCUUGACCCAACCUUUUCAGGCAAUGGAGCCAUUCCCUGUAAUAUACAUGACAGAAAACACGUGCUAGAGCACCGCAGCAGCGAGCUGCGAGCAAACCCUCAGAGCAAUACUGAAAAUAACUUUGGAAUCACAACCAGCACGUCAAAGAGAACCAAAGGCUAACUGUGGUCGAAUCCAGUUAUCCUUCAGGGAUCGUUCACCUAACGCAAGUAUUGCUCAGCAGCAUUGUAUUUGUUUAGGGAGUCGUUACGAACUGCCGUGCCGCAGGAAUUACGACGACAGGAUGUUCAUUCCAAGCCUCGGGCCCUGAUUCAGCAAGUUACAUCAACUGGUGAGUAUUUCCCACUGCCUGCAACCACCAAGUAAUGAAACGCCUUCAAUCGUGUCUCGGAAGGCAAGAGGAAACAUGACGAUGCCAAAUUCCUGCUGGCAGAGCACGAUCUGCUAUGCUACACGCUACAGAGUGGUGCUUUUCCACCUACCUUUAGCUGACAGUCUUCGUUCACAGCCAGGUUGCCUGGCUUCAGGUCCUGCAACAGACAAGAGCAGGAGAAUAAGGAUGUUUUAAUUGCAACUCAUCAACACGAGCCUCGGCCAAACCUCGGCUUGCCUUUGUUGGGAUCCCAUAACACCCCAAGUCCAGCAUUAAUGCAGCAGAGACACUGUGCCUGCUAUAUCGCACUGCUUCAGAUUACUAUUUUAUUUUUUCUGAAACAGCUUUAAUUCAAAAAACAUCAUAAAAUGCUUCACAGCUUGUCAGAAGGUACCGCAUUUCCUCAAAAUGCUGCACAAAUGAGCAACUCCAAACACACGCAGAGUGUAGGAGGGAAAAGAGGGAGACCUUAGAGCAGACGAGGCUAUUAGUGAAAAGAAGCGGAGGAAUUUAUUAACUUUACAACCAAGCUGCGU